Triticum dicoccoides is the source of this 1333-nucleotide long non-coding RNA. RefSeq lists it as uncharacterized. The record is from RefSeq and is a predicted model, not a curated record. Lineage: Eukaryota; Viridiplantae; Streptophyta; Magnoliopsida; Poales; Poaceae. The transcript is spliced from 2 exons.
UCCCUUCCUGUGUGUGCAUAAUUGACCAGUCAACAUGUGUCUUAUGUCCCAACUGAAUUAACUAUACGUUUCCUUAGAGAGGUUGCAAUUUGGUCAUAGUAAAUUUGGUGUCAUAUGAUUAGCUAUUACCCUUUUGUUUUGGCUGUGACUGAAACCUUAUAUUUAGGAGGUGAUCUUCUGGCUUUGGUAGUUUGACUUUAUUUGAUACUAUUUCUUUUGAUAUCCAACAAUCUGGAACAUGAAACUAUGAUCUACUGAAGAUGAAAAGAUGAACACAUAGCCUACUUUGAUUAGCUAAUUCUGUGCUGCUGCUUGUUGUCAAGUAGUGCAGCAUUUGUACUGUCAGAUUUAGUCUGAGCAUCUUAUUUUUCUGCCAUUCCAAUUUUUCCUGUUUAUUUAAGUAUUAAUCAGUACACCCACAUAAAAAAAUCAUUCACUUCUAAUACUAUCAUCUCACACUCUUACAACAAGUGCAUCCCAACCUCCCCUAUGGACAACUCGUUGGGUACUCUUGUGUAUCUAUCUUAAACAUGCAUCAUCUGAAUUAUUUAUUCACUCAGGAUGACACUUGACAAAAUUCAUCGGCAGUAAAUUCACCUAUGUUGCAUACAUAGUGAUUCACCUAAAUUUCAUAUGCACUAAUUCCUCUGUCACUCCUAUGUUAAAGAGUUGGGCACAACUAUGACAAGCAGAAGAUUGGUGAACGGGAUGAAACAAUCGAUACCAAUGAGAAUGUAGUUGGUGCUAACAAAAGGUGACACCUCCAGUAUGUCCUUGCUAUUUUUUCCGUCUAGAUCUAAAUAUGUGUUCCUACAAAGAGUAAAUAGCAACAUCAGUGCUGGCCUUCCAUCUGAAUCUGAGACAUUGAAUGGGAUCCUGUCAUUGCUAAGAAAAGCUAAGGAGGUCACCACCAAGAAUACCAAGGCCGCGUCGACGGACUCAAAAUUUCAAGUGUCAUUGCAUUGUCGAGUAUGUUCAGCGGGAUGGAAAGCAACAAGCAGCUGGGGGGUCAGGAUGACAAAGAUUGGUUCAACGUCGGCUGCUUCAUUGUGCCAGUGCCACACUUAGGCUGGUACAUGCACGUACGACCAUGGCGUCGGUGCCACUUCUUCAUCUUCUCCCCAACUGGCCCAUCCUCGCCAUUUCCACCGGGAUAAGCGAGUUGGAGGAAGAUGGAGAGGUGAGCUGGUUCUACUCAUUGACAGGAAAUUAUUUGGGCAUAACUUCCUUUUCGAAACAAGAAAUGAAAAUGUUCCCAUGAGAUUGAUUGAUCGUGCCCCGCUUUUGGAUGCUGUCGUUGCUUUUGAACCAAUGUCAUCUAUGUCAUCGGUCA